This is a long non-coding RNA of Neomonachus schauinslandi (Hawaiian monk seal), 169 nucleotides long. RefSeq lists it as uncharacterized. NCBI's taxonomy places the organism in Eukaryota, Metazoa, Chordata, Mammalia, Carnivora, Phocidae. The transcript has 3 exons. The record is from RefSeq and is a predicted model, not a curated record.
UUUCUGCAUCCUAUUCAUUUCUCAACCAGCACGUCAACCCAAUGACGGCAAAACAGAUAGAAGAGCAAUGAUUAUCAGAAGGCAAGACGAUGAUCAUAAUAAGAAGCCAGCUCUAAUUUUAUCUCCGCCACCUUGCUGAAAGAUGGUAAUCUCUACACCCAGCAUGGGG